Molecule: small RNA, 100 nt
Filed under: Flavobacterium sp. A45
Lineage: Bacteria; Pseudomonadati; Bacteroidota; Flavobacteriia; Flavobacteriales; Flavobacteriaceae
Description: Flavo-1 RNA
Rfam family: Flavo-1 RNA
Source: Rfam by way of RNAcentral
UUUUAGCCCCGAUUGUAGUGAAAAUCCUUUUGUAAGCUUUGUCAAAGUUUUGAACUUUGACAAAGCUUACAAAAGAUUGAAACGGAAAGCGGGACUAUAU